CUUAAACUUAAAAUCAGUUACGCUCAUAUCGACGGCGCUAAGCUAGAAGAGGAAUGUAAAAUCGCAGACAUAUGCCGUCACGACCAAGUUCCUAUAUGCGGAAUCGAUUCCUGCGGGGAAAUGAGGACAUUCAUCGAUACAUGUGACAUGCACGAGUUCAACUGCGACAGCAAAAAAGAUUUCGUACAAAAGCCGGUCCAUGAAUGCUGGGUGACGUGCAAGCGCG
Long non-coding RNA from Vanessa atalanta (red admiral), 226 nucleotides. RefSeq lists it as uncharacterized. NCBI's taxonomy places the organism in Eukaryota, Metazoa, Arthropoda, Insecta, Lepidoptera, Nymphalidae. The transcript has 3 exons. The record is from RefSeq and is a predicted model, not a curated record.